GCGGCGGGGGAAGAGGACGAGGAGGAAGAAGCUGCGAGCGGAGCGGCGGUGCCAGCGGCCCCUUCCCGGGGUGCGGCGGGGACGGAGCCCGCGGGUGUCCGACCGCGGUGUCCCCCGUGUCCCCACGUGCAGGCUCCUCCGUGUUGCUCUCUGAAAGCAUUUCAAGCUCGACACACAGAAGCUGUUUCUCAGUGAGCAGCUGUGGGGCAUUUGGCUGAUGGUUUUGACAGCAGAGAUGAAUUGAGGACGUGGCAUCUGCAGUCCUGACCUGGAAUUUGAACCCUUCGGUGCCUCUCCCUCCUCCCAGAUGGAGAGAGGCGGAAGAUCUCGGAAUCUUCUGAUUGCCAUCGAUCUGAUUUUGCUGAGCACUGGCCUCGUAUCACGUCUGUGUGUUCCGUGAGAGAUGAUUUCAAUCUGAAAAAAAGCCCUGCUUUUUUAUCAUCUGUGUCCAAAACCUCCAGCAGAAACUCCAUGAUUGGAGCAAUUUGGUCCAAUGCCAGGAGAAGGGACUGCUCCACACACUUUAGGAAGAGCAAAAAGGAGGAAGAAAAGAAGGUAGAGCCCUCUGUGCUGUGCCUGAUCACUCAUCAAAGCCAGCUGCCUCCUGUGCUGGCUUGAGGACGUGACAGAUGUCUGUAGCCUUUACAGGUGCAGGGCCUGCAUUUCAUCAGUCUUUUUUCCAUGGAUGACCUGGAGUGUGGAUUAUUAGCAGCUCAGAUUUCUUUGGCCAAGGUGCUUUGUUGUGUACACGUCCGGGUUAAAUCUAAGCAAUAUUUCUGAUCCAUGUAGGCUUCUGACUCAGUCCUGCAUCUUUGGUGUUUACAAAAUGAUCAGAGUUUGAACUCUCCCUGUUCUCUUUCUUAAAUGUCAGCAGAUUUUUUUAAAUUUUUUUUUAAUAAAACAAUGCAGCCUUCCCCUGCGGUGUUUGUGACCAAGAAACUGUGGCAUCACAAGAGCAUGAGGAAAUACUGGCUGAUUAAAACCAGGGUAAGAAAUGACAGCGAAAGUGUUUGUCUUUUUUUUUUUUUUUCCUCAUUUCAGAAUUCACAAUGAAGUGGCUGGUAAAAUGGGACCAGCUGGUUCAGCCCCACUAGGGCUGAAUACAAUGUUUAAUGUGCUGAAACUACUUCCACUGGCAAACUUUAGUGUGAUAAUUUAAUUUCUCAUGUAAAGCACAUCUCACAGCAUGGCUUUUUCCUUACUUCCCUCUGUUUUGACAAAGUAAAGUAAGUUUGGGCUA
This is a long non-coding RNA of Pyrgilauda ruficollis (rufous-necked snowfinch), 1240 nucleotides long. RefSeq lists it as uncharacterized. NCBI's taxonomy places the organism in Eukaryota, Metazoa, Chordata, Aves, Passeriformes, Passeridae. The record is from RefSeq and is a predicted model, not a curated record. The transcript has 3 exons.